Carassius auratus (goldfish) is the source of this 299-nucleotide unclassified non-coding RNA. It matches the Rfam family "Metazoan signal recognition particle RNA". From Rfam's summary of the family: The signal recognition particle (SRP) is a universally conserved ribonucleoprotein. It is involved in the co-translational targeting of proteins to membranes. The eukaryotic SRP consists of a 300-nucleotide 7S RNA and six proteins: SRPs 72, 68, 54, 19, 14, and 9. The record is from Ensembl. Lineage: Eukaryota; Metazoa; Chordata; Actinopteri; Cypriniformes; Cyprinidae.
GUUGGGUGCAGUGGCGCGCGCCUGUAAUCCAAGCUGCUGGGAGACUGAGGCUGGCGGAUCGCUUGAGUUCAGGGGUUCUGGGCUGCAGUGGACUAUGUUGAUCAGGUGUCCACACUAAGUUCGGUAUCGAUAUGGUGCUCCUGGGGGAGCUCGGGACCACCAGGUCGUCUAAGGAGGGGUGAACCGGCCCAGGUCAGAGAUGGAGCAGGUCAAAGCCCCCGUGUCGAUCAGUAGUGGGAUCGCACCUGUGAAUAGACACUGCAGUGCAGCCUGAGCGAUACAGUGAGACCCAGACUUUU